Molecule: long non-coding RNA, 762 nt
Filed under: Sinocyclocheilus grahami
Lineage: Eukaryota; Metazoa; Chordata; Actinopteri; Cypriniformes; Cyprinidae
Description: lncRNA (ENSSGRG00000013442.1)
Source: RNAcentral
GCUUAAUAAAAGUUUUAUUCUGAAUAAAUUCUAUGUAAAUAAUGAAUGUUUCUGUAAUAGUUGUGUAUAGCUGAGAAGGGCUGUAUGUAAGUGUUGUGUUGUGCGUCUGCAGUGAGUGUCCAGCAUCAUCCUGUGUUAGUGAUGGAGAGCUACACCUGUGACGGAGGCUCGUCUCUGUCCCCGUCUCCACCCGAAGUCUCGUCCUCCAUCCUCUACCACGCAGAGCAGGAGCUGCAGAGUCAGAGCAGCACGUUCAUCACAGCGAGCAAGACUUCAGGUCUGUUAGGCCUCUCGACUCUGGUCUGAAUCAAACGCUUCAGAUCACUGUGAAUCCUUCGAGACGGACAGCAGUGUUCGGACAGACAGAGAUCAAAUGCACUGAGACAUUUCAUCAUAUUAUCAUUUCAUAGACUGAUAAUCGUCCAGAGAAUGAUGAAUAUGAAAAUAUGAAUUCUGACUGCAUUGCUGGUACGUUACAGGACCCAGAUCACGGAUCUACAUUAAUUCAGCUGUUAUAUUUUGACUCCUUUCAUCCUGAGACUGCAGAUUCUUCACCUCUCGACGUCUGACUCAGUAUUUCUGAUUGUACAAAUAGUUGAACAAACUGAGUUCUGGCGCUGCUGAUAAAAUCCAGACAUUGUUAAUAAAGAUUGAGUCCGACAUUUUACCAUGAAAAUAAAAAUAAAACUACAGUAAUUCAAAUCAAAUUGAAUUUUGUAAUUUAUUAAAAACUCAAGUGCUCAAGUAACAAAGAAAUACGCC